RNAcentral lists this long non-coding RNA (937 nucleotides) under Drosophila guanche. The record is from RNAcentral. Lineage: Eukaryota; Metazoa; Arthropoda; Insecta; Diptera; Drosophilidae.
CGGGUAGUUCUUAUUCCAGUUCACCCUUCUCCCGUACGUUCAAAAAUCUAGUACAAUUUCUUGAAUAUUUUCGAACUUUUUCGCCUCCUUAAAAAAGUCAAAUUUUCGACCUUUAUAUUUGAAUAAGAAAUUAAUAAAAAAUGUUUUCAUUGAGAUUGACUUUGCCACAUACACUCAGCUGGCUGACUCGAUCAACAUGUACCCGAGGCAUUCCAUCCACCCGCACAGAUGGGUGGCAUGCAACUAGCUGGAAACUUGCAACAUGGGCACAAUGGAGGACUUUUUGAUCAGCGAAAUCGUGGAAACGUUAGUCAACACAACGUCGCGAACUUUGGAACUCAGGGUUCCACUGUUAAUUUCGGCAUGACUUUACCUCAAGGAACUCUCAACCUUGGCCAAGGCCAAAGCAACCGUGGUUGAUCUUCAGCAAUCCAAAUCCGAUGGGUUUCCACAACGAUCCCAAUAUUCCCUUGGGACUGGAGGACCUCUCCGAUAACUUUCGUGCCCAUCCCAAUGGCCCAAUUUACCGUCAGCCCAUAAGUGCUGCCCGAAUGGCAUGCACGUCAAAUGUUGGCCCGCAAUGGUUUGCAGUAAGUCAACACAAAAUAUUUCUCUAAUAUCUGAUGUACAUAUAUUGAAAAUAUUUCUUAACUGGUCCUAAUGUUACGCCACGGUUGAGCGGCGGCGAUGCCAGCAUAACUAUUCCCGUUCUUGAACGUUAGUCAUCAUUCUUAAUAUCAUUUUAAAGAUUUAUCCAUGUAUAAUAAUCUUUGUUUUCUGCAGGCCUCAGCCCAAAUAAUGACAAUCGCGGCAGUCGACGUCGACUCUUUUGGUAAAACCAUUUGAUCUGGUGAUUACCAACUUGAUUUACGAAUCUAAAUUAAUCAAUAAAUGUUCGAAAAGACGAAAUUUUGAUGUUUAGCUACCUUGGUUGAAU